Molecule: non-coding RNA, 116 nt
Organism: Azospirillum sp. 51_20
Lineage: Bacteria; Pseudomonadati; Pseudomonadota; Alphaproteobacteria; Rhodospirillales; Azospirillaceae
Source: Rfam
CCUGGCGGCGAUAGAGCGGUGGUCCCACCUGACCCCAUACCGAACUCAGAAGUGAAACGCCGAUGCGCCGAUGGUAGUGUGGGGCUUCCCCAUGUGAGAGUAGGACACCGCCAGGU